CCUACGGGAGGCAGCAGUAAGGAAUAUUGGACAAUGGGCGAAAGCCUGAUCCAGCCAUGCCGCGUGAAGGAUUAAGGUCCUCUGGAUUGUAAACUUCUUUUAUGUGGGACGAAAAAAGGGCAUUCUUGCUCACUUGACGGUACCAUUUGAAUAAGCACCGGCUAACUCCGUGCCAGCAGCCGCGGUAAUACGGAGGGUGCAAGCGUUAUCCGGAUUCACUGGGUUUAAACGGGUGCGUAGGCGGGUAGGUAAGUCAGUGGUGAAAUCUCGAAGCUUAACUUCGAAACUGCCAUUGAUACUAUCUAUCUUGAAUAUUGUGGAGGUUUGCGGAAUAUGUCAUGUAGCGGUGAAAUGCUUAGAUAUGACAUAGAACACCGAUUGCGAAGGCAGCAGGCUACACAUAUAUUGACGCUGAGGCACGAAAGCGUGGGGAUCAAACAGGAUUAGAUACCCUGGUAGUCCACGCCUAAACGAUGAUUACUCGACAUACGACGAUACUACUGUGUGUGUGUGAGACGAAGACGAUUAACGUUAACGUACCGACCGUACGGUAACGGUACGUACCGACGAGAGUAGAAACGUAACGAAGUAAGUUAGUACGGACGUAGAGGACGACGGACGGACGGACGGACGACGGAGGGGAGGUAGG
Molecule: ribosomal RNA, 649 nt
Filed under: uncultured bacterium
Lineage: Bacteria
Description: bacterial SSU rRNA
Rfam family: Bacterial small subunit ribosomal RNA (bases 1-541)
Source: RNAcentral